AUGGCAAGUCGCCUGGUUCCCCUGGCGCAUGCACGUCGACAGAGGGCCCAGUGCGCUGGUCUGAUUGACGUCGCGCUUCUCUUUGGCGCUCGAUGCGAGUACGAGCGUCUUCUUGCUGUCGUUCGUGAAGAACUUGGCGCUGAUCGCGACGAGCUCGUGGAUCCGAUGAUGUGGUGGAGUCGCUGUCGAGGUGAAUCUGGCGAGUCGGCGAUCUUGUCCUUCGGGGUGGAGAGUGCAUGGUGGUUGCACCUCCGCCGGUUUCGUCGCCACCGGCUCGUGCCUGGCAGUCCUGCCGCGGCCGCGAUGUACUCGGCUGCCGUGGAGUGUCGCCGUUGGCGAAGCCGAUGA
Molecule: ribosomal RNA, 348 nt
Filed under: Triticum aestivum (bread wheat)
Lineage: Eukaryota; Viridiplantae; Streptophyta; Magnoliopsida; Poales; Poaceae
Description: partial small subunit ribosomal RNA
Source: RNAcentral